Molecule: ribosomal RNA, 1060 nt
Filed under: marine metagenome
Description: bacterial SSU rRNA
Rfam family: Bacterial small subunit ribosomal RNA
Source: RNAcentral
AGAGUUUGAUCCUGGCUCAGGACGAACGCUGGCGGUGCGCCUUAUGCAUGCAAGUCGAGCGAAGCUUUUCAGUAGUUUACUACAGAAAAUGACUGAGCGGCGAACGGGUGAGUAACGCGUGAGCAAUCUACCUUAGUUACAGGGAUAGCCCGAGGAAACUCGGAUUAAUACCUGAUAUUCUUUAUAUUUCGCAUGAAAUUAAAAGGAAAGGUCAGCCGAACUAAGAUGAGCUCGCGUUCUAUCAGCUAGUUGGUGAGGUAAAAGCUCACCAAGGCAACGACGGAUAGCUGGUCUGAGAGGACGAUCAGCCACACUGGGACUGAGACACGGCCCAGACUCCUACGGGAGGCUGCAGCAGGGAAUAUUGCGCAAUGAGCGAAAGCUUGACGCAGCGACACCGCGUGUGGGAUGACGGAUCUAGGUUUGUAAACCACUUUCAGGAGGGAAGAAAAUGACGGUACCUCCACAAGAAGCCCCGGCCAACUACGUGCCAGCAGCCGCGGUAAUACGUAGGGGGCGAGCGUUGUCCGGAUUUAUUGGGCGUAAAGAGCUCGUAGGCGGUUCAACAAGUCGGUCGUAAAAGUUCAGGGCUCAACCCUGAAAUGUCGAUCGAUACUGUUGUGACUAGGAUACGGUAGAGGUGAGUGGAAUUCCGAGUGUAGCGGUGAAAUGCGUAGAUAUUCGGAGGAACACCAAUUGCGAAGGCAGCUCACUGGGCCGCUAUCGACGCUGAGGAGCGAAAGCUAGGGGAGCAAACAGGAUUAGAUACCCUGGUAGUCCUAGCUGUAAACGAUGGAUACUAGACGUAGGAACUGGAUUGACGGUUUCUGUGUCGUAGCUAACGCGUUAAGUAUCCCGCCUGGGGAGUACGGUCGCAAGACUAAAACUCAAAGGAAUUGACGGGACCCCGCACAAGCGGCGGAGCAUGCGGCUUAAUUCGAUGAUACCCGUAGAACCUUACCUGGACUUGACAUAUAGGGUCUAGCUAUAGAGAUAUAGUGUGCAUUAGCGCCCUAUACAGGUGGUGCAUGGCUGUCGUCAGCUCGUGUCGUGAGAUGUU